GACGAACGCUGGCGGCGUGCUUAACACAUGCAAGUCGAACGGAAAGGCCCUGCUUUUGUGGGGUGCUCGAGUGGCGAACGGGUGAGUAACACGUGAGUAACCUGCCCUUGACUUUGGGAUAACUUCAGGAAACUGGGGCUAAUACCGGAUAGGAGCUCCUGCUGCAUGGUGGUGGUUGGAAAGUUUCGGCGGUUGGGGAUGGACUCGCGGCUUAUCAGCUUGUUGGUGGGGUAGUGGCUUACCAAGGCUUUGACGGGUAGCCGGCCUGAGAGGGUGACCGGCGACAUUGGGACUGAGAUACGGCCCAGACUCCUACGGGAGGCAGCAGUGGGGAAUAUUGCACAAUGGGCGGAAGCCUGAUGCAGCAACGCCGCGUGCGGGAUGACGGCCUUCGGGGUGUAAACCGCUUUCGCCUGUGACGAAGCGUGAGUGACGGUAAUGGGUAAAGAAGCACCGGCUAACUACGUG
RNAcentral lists this ribosomal RNA (468 nucleotides) under uncultured bacterium. Its description in RNAcentral is "partial 16S ribosomal RNA". It matches the Rfam family "Bacterial small subunit ribosomal RNA", at positions 28 to 507 of the family's 1533-position model. The record is from RNAcentral.